RNAcentral lists this ribosomal RNA (429 nucleotides) under Verrucomicrobiota bacterium. RNAcentral describes it as "Verrucomicrobia bacterium partial 16S ribosomal RNA". It matches the Rfam family "Bacterial small subunit ribosomal RNA", at positions 355 to 776 of the family's 1533-position model. Lineage: Bacteria; Pseudomonadati; Verrucomicrobiota. The record is from RNAcentral.
UAGGGAAUCUUCGGCAAUGGGGGGAACCCUGACCGAGCAACGUCGCGUGAGUGAAGAAGGUUUUCGGAUCUUAAAGCUCUGUUGUUAAGGAAGAACGAGUGUGAGAAUGGAAAGUUCAUGCUGUGACGGUACUUAACCAGAAAGGGACGGCUAACUACGUGCCAGCAGCCGCGGUAAUACGUAGGUCCCGAGCGUUGUCCGGAUUUAUUGGGCGUAAAGCGAGCGCAGGCGGUUAGAAAAGUCUGAAGUAAAAGGCAGUGGCUCAACCAUUGUAGGCUUUGGAAACUGUUUAACUUGAGUGCGGAAGGGGUGAGUGGAAUUCCAUGUGUAGCGGUGAAAUGCGUAGGUAUAUGGAGGAAAACCGGUGGCGAAAGCGGCUCUCUGGACUGUAACUGAAGCUGAAGCUCGAAAACGUGGGGAGCGAACAGG